Molecule: long non-coding RNA, 7929 nt
Filed under: Fragaria vesca (wild strawberry)
Lineage: Eukaryota; Viridiplantae; Streptophyta; Magnoliopsida; Rosales; Rosaceae
Description: long non-coding RNA (FVES_LNC003023)
Source: RNAcentral
UAAAUCCCACCAGUAGAUUCAACCUCUGAUGCCAAUGUCUCGAUCUCACUUGCACUCUUAAUAAUUCCAAGACUGUCUCUAAGCCACUGAACUGCAGCUCCAGCAAUAGCAAUGGAUCCUUCUAGAGCAUAAUUUGUCUGAGCUUCAGGUCCAAGUUUGAAUGCCACAGUGCUUAGAAGCCCAUGCUUCGACAUAGUUAUCUCUUCACCAGUGUUGAGAAGAAUAAACGCACCAGUUCCGUAAGUGCUUUUGGCCUCACCUUUCCUGCAAGCCUGUCCUAACAUUGCUGCAUGUUGAUCACCUAAACAUCCAGAAAUCGGGAUCCCAGUAAUCGGCCAUCCAGUGGCAAUAUCUCCAAUGACCUCAGAGUUGCUGACAAUCUUGGGGAGAAUUUUAGGGCAAAUUCCCAAGGUUUCCAAUGUGGGUUGAUCCCACUCAAGAGUCUUAAGAUUCAUGAGCAUAGUGCGUGACGCGUUGGAGACAUCUGUGACAUGUACCCCUCCGUUCAGACCACCGGUUAAAUUCCAGAUUAACCAAGUGUCGAUAGUUCCAAACAGAGCAUCCUCUGAUUUAAUAGCCUCCUUAACAGCAUCGACAUUCUCCAUCAACCAUAGCAGCUUCACUGCACUGAAAUAUGUGCUUAUGGGCAAACCACAUACCUCUGAAAAAUGAGUUCUUCCCCCAGAUAAUUCUUUCUCCAAUUUUCUGGCAGCAAAACAACCACAAACAUACAAUCAUAAUUCUCCAUAGGAAAUCACACAGUAUCACCAAAUAAAAGCAGGAAAUUUAAUUCACUUAAUUCAAACAUGGUGAAAAUUGUGCAUCAAGAAAACUAAACUCAACUUCCAUAGAGAAUUCCAUCCAAUCAUAAUCAAUCAAAGUUGAAACCAAUACUAUACCGAGUUAACAUUCAACUAAUUAAACAAAGAAAAGCGUAUUGAACUCUAUCACUAUCCAUUGAAAUCCAUGAUCCAAUUCAGGAACAAUAUCAUAAAUGGUGUCCAGAUCUCUUACCGGCAAACACCACUGGUACGAGCAUCCAUCCAAACAAUAGCAUUGUAAAGAGGAGAGCCAGUGGAUUUACUCCAGAUGAGAGUGGUCUCUCUCUGAUUGGUCAACCCAAUGGCCUUCAAGCCGCUGUCGAUGUUGUGGCCAUCGGCAGUGGCUUUGUCCAGAGCCUUAGCCAUACAUACUCUCACGCUCUCCAAUAUCUCCAUUGGAUCAUGCUCCACCCAUCUGUCUCAUCAUCACACACGACCAAUAUACCAUCAAUCACAGAAGAAACAAAGAAUCCCAACAACAACAACAACAAACAACAAAAACAGAAGAAAAGGAGGGAAGUGGUAUACCCUGCUUCUGGAUAGAUUUGGUUGAACUCGACCUGGUGAGACCCAACGGUGCGGGAAUCACGAUCAUAAAUUAUGAAUCUGGUACUGGUGGUUCCUUGGUCAAUGGACCCAACAUACACUGCCUCCUUAGACAUGCUCUCUUCUUCUGCUUCUGAUCAAAGCUCAAUACUUUGUUCUGGUUUCUUAAGAUAAAUGACACAAGAGUCAAGACUAUGAUGCAACUUCUUCUUGGGAAUGUGACAUAUCCAAUAUUUCAGCAAAAUUCUAGUCAGUUGGAUAAGAUAGAGACAAAGAAAUUAUAUUCGAAGACAAAUUACCAUAAAAACACACAAAAAUAAAUUGGAUAAAGAUAGAAAAGGAACAAUAAAUUAACUAUUUUUAUGAAAGAGUAUUUUGUGGGCGGAAGAUUCAAUACAUGAGGGUCGCCUUCGUUCCAGGUUAGCUGAACUAACUUGAGCGCCCAUGUACUUUCACGUGGCAUCUCUCUACAAUGUUGACUCGGUGUUUCUCGUGCUUUCACGGAUGCCGGAGUUAUGGCGUUUCCAACCAAAAAUCCAAGCUGAUAAUAUAAACAGUCAUAGGAUUAUGAGAGGUGAUAUUUUCUUUUGUUUUAGAAAACGACCUUUUUGUUUUUGUGACCUUUGAUUGUUGAUUUAAUGGAGGCAAUCGCUUAACUAGGGACAGCAUGACUGCAUAAACUGGAAGCUUUAAAAACCUCUACAAUACUGUCAAGCAAAGCCUUCAAUGACUAGAUGUUUAGAUCCGGGCAGGUAUUCAGUAUACAUACGGUGUUUAUCUACAAAGACCAUGCAGAUGGUUAAAGAUUGGAUGAUACUAAUACAGAUACAUGAUUGUCCUCAUAUAUGAAAGUCUUAAGAUUGUUGCCGUGUUGUGUUUUAACACGCUAAAAUUUAAUUCGAGACGUUUGUUUAAAAGCCUUACAAAAGGCAGAUAUAACACAUCUUCGAAACAUUUUACUACUCUCACGUGGUAAUCAACGAUUGACUUAGAUGUUAGUUGAGUACAUAUGGGCCAUAUGCGGUUCAUAAUGUUUUUAGGUCGGUGGGUUGCUUCUCCCGAUCCAAACACAUUUCACCAAAAACCACAUGUCUAAAAUGUAUAAAAACAAAUUGGAACAAAAAAACAAGGGAAAAUAUUAAGAACGGUAUAUCAAGUAUAGGCAACUGAAAAUUAAGGUGAAUUUCUUUCUAAAAUAUCACUCUCAGGUUAAGAAUCCAAAAUAUCACUCGUCAUCUUGCAGGGGUGAGAGAGACGAGUGGUAACUGGUAAGGAUUAAGGAAUGGUAGCUGGUUCUGGGUGGAAUGAAUUGAGAGGUCGAUUCUCAAAUUCAGGACACCUCUGCAAAAUUUGAGGAUUAUCUAUUGACAAAUUCUCAGGCAAAGUUGCCAGAAGAGAGGAAACAACUCAAACAAGGAGUGACUCCACAUUUCUCACAUCGCAAACCAUUAAAACUAAUAAUGAGUUUGCACGUAGCCAUAAAACUACACACCUUUGCACACAACCAAACAGAGGCGUUGGGGGAGGAAUUUGAAACCUACAGGUGCAAUUUUUGUAUUAUUGAAGCAUACAGCCUCAAUAUAUAUGAUGCACUCUCUUUUGCUAAAGAUCAACUCACAUAAUUAGGGGAGUGUAUUGUAUUUGGAUUCAUACAGACUUAUUUUAAUCAACUGAUUUUUUGAAAAGUCUACAGACUCUUUGAAAAGUUCAUAGAUUUUCACUCAUUUCUUAAAACCAUCGAUUUUUAAUCAUAGACUUUCACUGAUUUCUGAAAUCUACAGAUUUCAUCAUAUGAAUGACUUCUGUAGAUUUCUCAAUACUUACAGAGUUACGGGAAAGAAUAAAUAAAUAAAUAUGCAAUGACAAACACAUAAUAACACCGAUUAUAAGUUUAGUGCUCAUCUAUCUAAUUUCGAUGUAUACAGUUGUAAUAUUUGAUUGAAAUACAUAAACAUAGGUAACGAAAAAGAUUAUAUUAACUUAACAACACGCAUACUUGUACGUAAACUAAAGACACAUGUUCUAAAGUGGGACAUUAGAUGUUCACAAGUUUAAUUCAUGUACGCAAAUAUAAUAUAUGAUCAUGUGGUUUUAAUAUCAAGAUGUUCACAAGUUUAAUUCAUGUACGCAAAUAUAAUAAUAUAUGAUCAUGUGGUUCUAAUAUCAAGAGUUAGUAGAUAAUAUUUAGGUUAUCGAGGGUUCCAAGCAUUACAAUUGAAGACAACAAAAUAAAAACAUUGAAAAUAAUAGGUAAAAUAGAAUGUUGAUAGCACAAAAUAUUAUAAAAAAAGAAAAAAGAAAAAAAAAGAUGAUAUAUCGUAGGAUCAACCUAUUCACAUGUAAAGAGAAAGUCUGUUGUAGACUUUUCCAAAUCUUUGCUCUAAUAGAUGGAAAAAUAUUGGAGUUUGGUGUGUGUAAUUUACACUACAAAGUCCACAACUAUCCAUGAGUUAUUAAUUCCAUAAGUAUGAAUGAUAUUUUAAAUACAUCUGAACUUCUAUUGAUUUUUAAAAAUACACCUGAACUUUGGUGGAAUUCAUAAUGAUUUUUUAAAAUCUAGUUGAAUACACCCAGACUUUGAUUGAUUUUUAAUAUGAGGUACGUAGCUAGCAAGUUGUGAACCAUUUAAUUAAAUGAGCUCAGGCACGUUUGUAAAGGAAUAAAAACCUAACACAAUGUACAGAUUUAUUUGAUAAAUAGCUGAUUUAGAAGCACUAGUAGAGUAAUAGAUCAAUAACAGAUUUGUAAGCUCUAGGAGUGGUGUCAUUGCAAAAGCUUAUAUAUAUAUAUCCAAAAUGAAGGAGAUAAUGUACUCCCCCUAGCAAGGUAGAGGAAACCCUAACAGAGCGUCUCUAUGUCAAUUGCUUUGUUACAAAUCAGGUUUAACUAUGAUAGAGAAAAAUUAAUACAGUAAAAUAUCUAUAAAUUAAUAAUGUCAGGACCAGUAAAAUUUAUUAAUUUAGCGAGGUAUUAAUUAAAUGAUAAAUUAAUAAAUUAAUAAAAUUAAUAAUUUAUCGAUGUUAAAUAACUCAAAUAUUACAAUGAGUCUGUUUGUGAGUCGAACUCACGACCUACCACAUAUAAGAGGAGAUUUAUGCCACUAGACUAAAUGUUACUGGUUAUUUAUCGAUUAUUUAAUAACUUAUUAUUUAAUCAAAAUCUUAUUUAUUUUCUUAAAUAUAUUUUUAAAUUUAGCGAAUUAUCAAUUUAUGUAUUCAUUGGGGUCUAUGUAAAUUCGUAUUUGUAUUAUCUUAUAAAUUUAACGAAUUAUUAAUUUAACAGGUUGUCCCCGACUCAAGACAGGCAAAAAUUAUUAUUUUAAUGAGGUUAUUAAUUAGUCGAGUAUUAUUUUAAUGAGGUUUUAUUGUAGUAAUUUGAUCACCAAUUUGAUUCUCAUUUGGCGGUUUCUUUUGUAGUUUGGAUUGGGGACACAAAGAGUUGAAUUCCCAUGCUAACAACAGUUACAUAUUUGCAAUUACUUUGUUAUUAUUCACAAGGAUGUAAGCUAGAAAACUACAUUGCAAAACCAAAUUAAUAAGAGAGGAAGCUACAUAGAAAAUACUCAGUAUUUUGUAAUAAGAACAUAGAAGUGGGGAGAGUACUGCAUCAAAGUCAAAGAUCUGCCAAAUCAAACGUUCUUGAAACGGCUUUGCACCAUGACUCCAACUUCUUCUUCCUCAACUCCUCACCUAUUUUCUGGUGGAAGUUCUCAUCCUGUCUUCAGAAGCAAAGAUCUCUUUUUCAGUCCAAACACCGACUGCCAACCCAGCAGCAUAAGCUGCUCCGAGAGCUGUUGUCUCGGUGUCAGCUGGCCUUACAACUGGGGUGCCCGUCAGGUCUGCCUAAACGCCAACAACAACAUGGAAAAUAAUAUCAAAUCAUUAUCUAUAUGAAGAGCUUUAAGAUAAGCAUGACAUAAUCAUAAAAUUACUGCAAUCUUGGAGAAUUUUAAUUUCUUCUUUCAAACGUCUUGAUAAUGGAAUACGUAAACAUGAACUCAAUUAAGCAUGAUUUAAUCUAUAUAGACGAAAUUAAUUAAUUUCAAAUCUGUGGAAUCCUUCUUGCUUUUUAGCUACUUUUUAAAUAUACGGAAUGAUACUUUAUUUGAUCAACUCAAAAACCAUUCCUUAGUUUCAGUUUCUUGUGUUUAUACAGAGAUUCUGAAUGUACUAUAAAGAGCUUUGGAACUUCACCAAAGUUUUACAGCUCAAUUAUCACAUAAGGAAAAAACAUUAACAUAUAUAAGGUGUGUGAAUUAUUUAAUAAUAUUUUUAUUUAUUUAUAAAAAAGAACAUUAAUAUAUAUUAGUUUCAUGGCCUAACUAUUAAAUCACAUAGGACGUGCUCAUGUUGGAAGUUUUGUGCUUUCUUGCCUUAACUAGGAACCUGCAAGCGGUUAUGUUUUUCCAACUUGCAUUACUGUUUUCACUACUCAUAAUUAGCUAUAUAUUUUGUGUCUAAGGUAUAAUUAUAUUCUAGGUAAUUAGAUGCUUUAUUCUAGAUAUUUUGUAGGUCAUUUUGAACCCUAUAUAAGAAUUCAAGAUCUAAAAUAGAAGACUGAAUAAGUUCAGUUUCUUCAAUCUUCAUCCACUGUUCUUUUUGUUUCAUUUGCUACUGCAAAUGGAUCAAACAAUUUAGUGAGAUUCCAAUUUUAGCAUACAAUAAGGAAGACAAUGUAGUUUGGUUAGGUACAACGUCGAGCACCCUUACUGCUAAAGAGGCAUAUUCUUUUAUUGCAGGAGAGAUUCAAGCUUCAUCUUGGGGUAAGUCUAUAUGGCAUGCUUCUAUUCAGUUGCGCAAGAGCAUCACUACCUGGAAAGUCCUCCGUAAUCAGAUUCUAUUUGAUGAGUUGUUACAACGCCGAGGGUUUCAACUAUGUUCCAAGUGUUCUCUUUGCCACAAUGCAGUUGAGUCAACUCGACACCUAUUCUGGAAAUGUCAUGUGGUCAUGGACAUUUGGUAAAGGUUGUUUGCCCUCUUGCAGAGAAGAUUUGAUCCGGGUAUGUCUUUAACUGAUUACUUGAACACCCCUCUUCCCCAGGGUUUUAACUCAUCAACAAAAUUGCUUUGGUUCAUUGUGAGAUGCAAUUUAUUAUGGUUCAUUUAGUAUGAGAGGAAUAGGCUAAGACACAAUGAGGAAUCUUUUUGCCCUAUUCGAUUUCAAUUUCAUAUCUAAAUGCAGCAAGAGAUUCUUCCAGGUUAGCAUUCAAUCAUGCUAGCCUGUCAGCCAGUAAUCACCGAAUUUUCAACAUGUUUAGUAUUUCCCCUUUGCGAGCUAGAGCUGCUAGCUUUAUUCCUGGUUCCUCAUCCAGAUUUCUUUCUGCGGAGGCCUAAUCUCAAGUUCUUUUGAUUGUUCUCUAUUAGUUUUCAUGUAUGUGUGUGAAUUAGUUUUCAUGCUUUCUCCCAAUUUUUUUUUUUUUUUGGUCGAAAGGCUUUCUCCCAACUUGGAUCACUCUUAAAUGUUCCGGUUGGUUUUUCGUUACUUUCUCAUUGUACCUUUUGACUGGCUUUGGCAUAGUCCUCUAGUUGCAUUGUAUCUUUUUUAUUUUGUUUUAAUAAAUUUUCGGGAAGAGACGUUGAGUUGGUCCAUUUUUCGCUUAUUUAAAAAAAAACAAAAGAAGUUAUGAUAUUGAUUAUAUUUUCGGAAAGGGACGUUGAGUACAUUAGUCCUUUUUUCGCUUACUUAAAAAAAACAGAAGAAGUUAUGAUAUUAAUUAUAUUUUCGAGAAGGGACGUUGAGUUAGUCCUUUUUUCGCUUACUUAAAAAAAAAACAGAAGAAGUUAUGAUAUUGAUUAUAUUUUGUUCAAAACACAAAGUAGAAGCACCAAGUAUAACAAUUUGGACAUGUAAGAACCACAUAGCUACAAAACUCCCACACAGUACAGAUAUUUGAAUUCAUGGAAUGGUUUCAAAUUAUAAACAGAGAAUAUCCGACAACUAAAGAGAACUAGGAAAAGGAGUGUUAUGCGAAAGAAAGAAAAAAAAAAUAUGAAUAUUGAAAUGCAAUAUUAGACUGGUAAAUAUGAUAACACAAACAAAGUCCUAACCUGGAUCUGCAUUAGAAGGUUAUCAACAGCAGCGCCACCAUCCACUCUAAGCAAGAACUCUCUUGUCUCAUUUUUAACCCCUCCCUUCUCUUCAGCAUCUUUAUGCAUUGAAUAUAGCACAUCUUUCACCUGGAAACACAUACUCUCAAGCACUGCUCAAGCAAGGUGCGCCUUGUUCGUAAAGCUCGUCAUACCAAUACAAAUUCCACGAGCAUCAUCACGCCACCAGGGAGCAAAUAAUCCGUUAAAGGCAGGCACAAAAUAAACCCCACCAGUAGACUCAACCUGUGACGCUAGUGCCUCAAUCUCAUUUGCAGUCCCAAUAAUCUCAAGAUUGUCUCUAAGCCACUGAACUGCAGCUCCAGCAAUAGCAAUGGAUCCUUCUAGAGCAUAAUUUACCGGAGCUUUAGGUCCAAGUUUGAAUGCCAAAGUGCUAAGAAGCCCAUGCUUCGACACAGUUAUCUCUUCACCAGUGUUGAGAAGAAUAAAAGCACCAGUUCCGUAAGUGCUUUUGG